This 492-nucleotide ribosomal RNA is filed under the name uncultured bacterium. RNAcentral's name for it is "partial 16S ribosomal RNA". It matches the Rfam family "Bacterial small subunit ribosomal RNA", at positions 29 to 507 of the family's 1533-position model. The record is from RNAcentral.
AGUGAACGCUGGCGGUAGGCCUAACACAUGCAAGUCGAACGGCAGCACAGUAAGAGCUUGCUCUUACGGGUGGCGAGUGGCGGACGGGUGAGGAAUACAUCGGAAUCUACUUUUUCGUGGGGGAUAACGUAGGGAAACUUACGCUAAUACCGCAUACGACCUACGGGUGAAAGCAGGGGAUCUUCGGACCUUGCGCGAUUGAAUGAGCCGAUGUCGGAUUAGCUAGUUGGCGGGGUAAAGGCCCACCAAGGCGACGAUCCGUAGCUGGUCUGAGAGGAUGAUCAGCCACACUGGAACUGAGACACGGUCCAGACUCCUACGGGAGGCAGCAGUGGGGAAUAUUGGACAAUGGGCGCAAGCCUGAUCCAGCCAUACCGCGUGGGUGAAGAAGGCCUUCGGGUUGUAAAGCCCUUUUGUUGGGGAAGAAAAGCAGCAGGUUAAUACCCCGCUGUUCUGACGGUACCCAAAGAAUAGGCACCGGCUAACUUCGUG